Molecule: ribosomal RNA, 253 nt
Filed under: uncultured bacterium
Lineage: Bacteria
Also listed under: 1 other name
Description: partial 16S ribosomal RNA
Rfam family: Bacterial small subunit ribosomal RNA
Source: RNAcentral
UACAGAGGGUGCGAGCGUUAAUCGGAAUUACUGGGCGUAAAGGGCGCGUAGGUGGUUUAUUAAGAUUGAUGUGAAAUCCCUGGGCUUAACCUAGGAACGGCAUCGAUGACUGAUAGACUGGAGUACUGUAGAGGGUAGUGGAAUUUCCGGUGUAGCGGUGAAAUGCGUAGAGAUCGGAAGGAACACCGGUGGCGAAGGCGGCUACCUGGACAGUGACUGACACUGAGGCGCGAGAGCGUGGGGAGCAAACAGG